Molecule: ribosomal RNA, 253 nt
Filed under: uncultured bacterium
Lineage: Bacteria
Description: partial 16S ribosomal RNA
Rfam family: Bacterial small subunit ribosomal RNA
Source: RNAcentral
UACGUAGUGUGCGAGCGUUGUCCGGAAUUAUUGGGCGUAAAGGGCUCGUAGGCGGUUUGUCGCGUCGGGAGUGAAAACCUCGGGCUUAACUCGGGGCUUGCUUUCGAUACGGGCAGACUGGAGGUAUGCAGGGGAGAACGGAAUUCCUGGUGUAGCGGUGAAAUGCGCAGAUAUCAGGAGGAACACCGGUGGCGAAGGCGGUUCUCUGGGCAUGACCUGACGCUGAGGAGCGAAAGUGUGGGGAGCGAACAGG